This 173-nucleotide small RNA is filed under the name Butyrivibrio sp. INlla21. Its description in RNAcentral is "Clostridiales-1 RNA". It matches the Rfam family "Clostridiales-1 RNA". Lineage: Bacteria; Bacillati; Bacillota; Clostridia; Lachnospirales; Lachnospiraceae. The record is from RNAcentral.
UGAUAUAUAAAGGGGCGAAAGUUCAAAAUGCAAACAUGCUUGCAUGUAAUGCAUUUUGAACUUUAUGCCCCGAACAGACAUGAGGAAAUAGCGAUUUACAAAGUAAAUCAGCGGUUUCCGAAUGUAUGUAGAAUUGCGAAAAUUGCGAUAGCAAUGGAGCAAUUCGUAUAUCA